RNAcentral lists this ribosomal RNA (524 nucleotides) under uncultured bacterium. RNAcentral's name for it is "partial 16S ribosomal RNA". It matches the Rfam family "Bacterial small subunit ribosomal RNA", at positions 355 to 895 of the family's 1533-position model. The record is from RNAcentral.
UGGGGAAUAUUGCACAAUGGGCGAAAGCCUGAUGCAGCAACGCCGCGUGAGUGAUGAAGGUCUUCGGAUUGUAAAGCUCUGUCUUUUGGGACGAUAAUGACGGUACCAAAGGAGGAAGCCACGGCUAACUACGUGCCAGCAGCCGCGGUAAUACGUAGGUGGCGAGCGUUGUCCGGAUUUACUGGGCGUAAAGGGUGCGUAGGCGGAUGUUUAAGUGAGAUGUGAAAUACCCGGGCUUAACUUGGGUGCUGCAUUUCAAACUGAAUAUCUAGAGUGCAGGAGAGGAGAAUGGAAUUCCUAGUGUAGCGGUGAAAUGCGUAGAGAUUAGGAAGAACACCAGUGGCGAAGGCGAUUCUCUGGACUGUAACUGACGCUGAGGCACGAAAGCGUGGGUAGCAAACAGGAUUAGAUACCCUGGUAGUCCACGCCGUAAACGAUGAGUACUAGGUGUAGGAGGUAUCGACCCCUUCUGUGCCGCAGUAAACACAUUAAGUACUCCGCCUGGGAAGUACGAUCGCAAGAUU